UACGUAGGGUGCGAGCGUUGUUCGGAUUCAUUGGGCGUAAAGGGUGCGUAGGCGGCGGGGAAAGUCUGAUGUGAAAUCCUGGGGCUCAACCCUGGAACUGCAUUGGAUACUUCCUUGCUAGAGUACUGGAGAGGAAACUGGAAUUUACGGUGUAGCAGUGAAAUGCGUAGAGAUCGUAAGGAAGACCAGUGGCGAAGGCGAGUUUCUGGACAGUUACUGACGCUGAGGCACGAAGGCCAGGGGAGCAAACGGG
Molecule: ribosomal RNA, 253 nt
Filed under: uncultured bacterium
Lineage: Bacteria
Description: partial 16S ribosomal RNA
Rfam family: Bacterial small subunit ribosomal RNA
Source: RNAcentral